This 520-nucleotide ribosomal RNA is filed under the name uncultured Archaeospora. RNAcentral's name for it is "SSU rRNA". It matches the Rfam family "Eukaryotic small subunit ribosomal RNA", at positions 569 to 1091 of the family's 1831-position model. Lineage: Eukaryota; Fungi; Glomeromycota; Glomeromycetes; Archaeosporales; Archaeosporaceae. The record is from RNAcentral.
AGCAGCCGCGGUAACUCCAGCUCCAAUAGCGUAUAUUAAAGUUGUUGCAGUUAAAAAGCUCGUAGUUGAAUUUUGGAUUCUGCCAAUUGGUCCAUCUUUUAGAUGAGUACUGGUUGUGUGGGGUCUAUCCGCCUGGUGAUACGUAAUGUCCUUUAUUGGAUGUUGCGGGUAGUCAGGACCUUUACCUUGAAAAAAUUAGAGUGUUUAAAGCAGGCUUAUGCCGGGAUACAUUAGCAUGGAAUAAUAGAAUAGGACGAAGUUGUUUUAUUUUGUUGGUUUCUAGGACAACCGUAAUGAUUAAUAGGGAUAGUUGGGGGCAUUAGUAUUCAAUUGUCAGAGGUGAAAUUCUUGGAUUUAUUGAAGACUAACUACUGCGAAAGCAUUUGCCAAGGAUGUUUUCAUUAAUCAAGAACGAAAGUUAGGGGAUCGAAGACGAUCAGAUACCGUCGUAGUCUUAACCAUAAACUAUGCCGACUAGGGAUCGGGCGAUGUUGUUUCCAUGACUCGCUCGGCACCUUAU